Molecule: ribosomal RNA, 468 nt
Filed under: uncultured bacterium
Lineage: Bacteria
Description: partial 16S ribosomal RNA
Rfam family: Bacterial small subunit ribosomal RNA
Source: RNAcentral
GACGAACGCUGGCGGCGUGCUUAACACAUGCCAGUCGAACGGAAAGGCCCUGCUUUUGUGGGGUGCUCGAGUGGCGAACGGGUGAGUAACACGUGAGUAACCUGCCCUUGACUUUGGGAUAACUUCAGGAAACUGGGGCUAAUACCGGAUAGGAGCUCCUGCUGCAUGGUGGGGGUUGGAAAGUUUCGGCGGUUGGGGAUGGACUCGCGGCUUAUCAGCUUGUUGGUGGGGUAGUGGCUUACCAAGGCUUUGACGGGUAGCCGGCCUGAGAGGGUGACCGGCGACAUGGGGACUGAGAUACGGCACAGACUCCUACGGGAGGCAGCAGUGGGGAAUAUUGCACAAUGGGCGGAAGCCUGAUGCAGCAACGCCGCGUGCGGGAUGACGGCCUUCGGGUUGUAAACCGCUUUCGCCUGUGACGAAGCGUGAGUGACGGUAAUGGGUAAAGAAGCACCGGCUAACUACGUG